RNAcentral lists this transfer RNA (53 nucleotides) under Frullania inflata. Its description in RNAcentral is "partial tRNA-Leu". The record is from RNAcentral. Lineage: Eukaryota; Viridiplantae; Streptophyta; Jungermanniopsida; Porellales; Frullaniaceae.
UUGAAAAUCCGUUGGCUUUAUAGACCAUGAGGGUUCAAGUCCCUCUACCCCCA